UACGGGAGGCAGCAGUGGGGAAUAUUGCACAAUGGGCGAAAGCCUGAUGCAGCUAUGCCGCGUGUAUGAAGAAGGCCUUAGGGUUGUAAAGUACUUUCAUCGGGGAGGAAAAACAAAACUAAUAAUUUUAUUUCUUGACGUUACCCGAAAAAGAAGCACCGGCUAACUCCGUGCCAGCAGCCGCGGUAAUACGGAGGGUGCUAGCGUUAAUCAGAAUUACUGGGCGUAAAGAGCACGUAGGUGGUUUUUUUAAAGUCAGAUGUGAAAUCCCUGGGCUUAACCUAGGAACUGCAUUUUGAAACUGAAAUACUAGAGUAUCGUAGAGGGAGGUAGAAUUCUAGGUGUAGCGGUGAAAUGCGUAGAUAUCUGGAGGAAUACCUGUGGCGAAAGCGGCCUCCUAAACGAAUACUGACACUGAGGUCGCGAAAGCGUGGGGAGCAAACAGGGAUUAGAUACC
Molecule: ribosomal RNA, 457 nt
Filed under: uncultured bacterium
Lineage: Bacteria
Description: bacterial SSU rRNA
Rfam family: Bacterial small subunit ribosomal RNA
Source: RNAcentral